CCUACGGGAGGCAGCAGUGAGGAAUAUUGGUCAAUGGGCUUACGCCUGAACCAGCCAAGUCGCGUGAGGGAAGACUGCUCUAUGGGUUGUAAACCUCUGUUGUCAGGGAGCAACACCGGCUACGUGUAGCCGGACUGAGAGUACCUGAAGAAAAAGCAUCGGCUAACUCCGUGCCACCAGCCGCGGAAAUACGGGGGAUGCGAGCGUUAUCCGGAUUGAUUGGGUUAAAAGGGUGCGUAGGCGGAAUGCCAAGUCAGUGGUAAAAUCGCGGGGCUCAACCUCGCUCCGCAGUUGAAACUGGCGUUCUUGAGUGGGCGAGAGGUAUGCGGAAUGCGUGGUGUAGCGGUGAAAUGCAUAGAUAUCACGAAGAACUCCGAUUGCGAAGGCAGCAUACCGGAGCCCAACUGACGCUGAAGCACGAGAGCGUGGGUAGCGAACAGGAUUAGAUACCCCUGUAGUC
This 460-nucleotide ribosomal RNA is filed under the name uncultured bacterium. RNAcentral describes it as "partial 16S ribosomal RNA". It matches the Rfam family "Bacterial small subunit ribosomal RNA", at positions 338 to 795 of the family's 1533-position model. The record is from RNAcentral.